Molecule: long non-coding RNA, 1123 nt
Filed under: Cricetulus griseus (Chinese hamster)
Lineage: Eukaryota; Metazoa; Chordata; Mammalia; Rodentia; Cricetidae
Description: lncRNA (ENSCGRG00015042287.1)
Source: RNAcentral
UUUUUUUUUAGUUGAAAAAUCCAUUCAUAAACUUUUAUUCCACUUACAUGAAUUUAAUACAUGUGUUCUUAACAAUUAUGCUUGGAUUGUUCAUGAAAAUUUCAUAAGACAUUAAACAAAGCUAGCCGUCAUCUCAAGUCGUUUCCCUGUUAACUGUGUUUACAGCUCAUGCAUGUUAGGCAAGUAUCAAAAAGGAAAAAAAAAAUCACAAAAGCAAAAAACAAAACAAAAAACUAAAAAAAACAAAGUUAAAUACACGGGGUUUUGUUUACCGCUGCGCUUGAUACACGUGGAGCAGUGAACACCAAGCAACUCAUUUUACUGCGUCUUUAACUUUUACAUUUGUUCUUAGAUUGCCUAAAACAUUUAAAUACAAAUAAAAUGUGUAGCAAAAAUAAUGAAAGCAAACAGCAGGUAACUUUACAAAUAAUGGAAUGUGAACCGUUUCUGCCCUUAUCAGAGUAAAUUGGGUCACAACUUUCUUUAGGGACCACUUCCGGAGCUGUGGCCAGGGUGUGCAUGCAGACAGGCGAUCCCGCGGUGUAUCCAGGGUACACCUGCUGUUUGUACCACAGCAUCACCAGUGCUCCAAUCCAACCUUAAAGUACCCACAACAACUACACUCCUGACUGGAACCAAUUAUCCCUUUAUUCCCACCAGCACAAACCAGUAUGUACGCAGUUUUCUUUGCUUAGACAUGGAAGCAGUUUUAACACUGGCCCUUCUGAAGCCACAAUGUACCAAAAGUACUAUGCCAAACAUGUAUAACUCGUGUAAAAAUUCCACUUCCCCAUAUUGGCCACCUCAAGAUGAAAACGAGUAACUCCCUAAAAUUAACUGGCUCUACUCCCCUAAUAUUAAAACAUAAAAACCACAUGGGAAAUAUAGAAAUUCAAAUAGAAGUAACAUAAACCUGUCAUAAAUCGUAAACAAAAAAAACUAUUUGUGAGACAGCAUGGAUGACAAAUGUCUACUGUGUAAAUUUUAGAAUGAGGCAGACAAAGGUUGGAGGGCCGGUUAAUUUUCCCCUCCUUCUCCUGCUUCUGCUUCGUCUCCUUGGGUAUCCGAUGUCCACAAUGUCAAGUUGUCUCUCAGUAACUGCAUUAUUAGCGUGCUGUCUUUG